UCCAGAGGUCUCAAUCGUUGUUCGGAUUGAUUGGGCGUAAAGGGUGCGUAGGUGGUUGGGUAAGUCAAAUGUGAAAUCCCGGAGCUCAACUCCGGAACUGCAUUCGAUACUGCCCGGCUCGAGGAUUGGAGAGGAGACUGGAAUUCACGGUGUAGCAGUGAAAUGCGUAGAGAUCGUGAGGAACACCCGUGGCGAAGGCGGGUCUCUGGACAAUUCCUGACACUGAGGCACGAAGGCCAGGGGAGCAAACGGG
Molecule: ribosomal RNA, 253 nt
Filed under: uncultured bacterium
Lineage: Bacteria
Description: partial 16S ribosomal RNA
Rfam family: Bacterial small subunit ribosomal RNA
Source: RNAcentral